This 251-nucleotide ribosomal RNA is filed under the name uncultured bacterium. RNAcentral describes it as "partial 16S ribosomal RNA". It matches the Rfam family "Bacterial small subunit ribosomal RNA", at positions 524 to 776 of the family's 1533-position model. The record is from RNAcentral.
UACAGAGGUCUCAAGCGUUGUUCGGAUUCAUUGGGCGUAAAGGGUGUGUAGGUGGCGCCGUAAGUCGGGUGUGAAAUUUCGGAGCUUAACUCCGAAACUGCAUUCGAUACUGCGGUGCUUGAGGACUGGAGAGGAGACUGGAAUUCAUGGUGAGCAGUGAAAUGCGUAGAGAUCAUGAGGAAGACCAGUGGCGAAGGCGGUCUCUGGACAGUUCCUGACACUGAGGCACGAAGGCCCAGGGAGCAAACGGG